CAGGGGCUUCUAGAGAAAAAAUAAUGAGGGGUGUCACGGGGUAUGACUAUAUAGGUCUUGUAGAAGAGAAACAGGCGCUUCUUUUGCGCAAGGUAUCGAAGGGCGCUAUGUUCAAAAAUCUGAAACUAGAGCUCAAAAAUUUGAAAAAAAUGGUAAAAAAAGGGGGUCGGCCUAUUCCAGGGCUUCUAGAGAAAAAUAAUGAGGGGUGUCACGGGGUAUGACUAUAUAGGUCUUGUAGAAGAGAAACAGGCGCUUCUUUUGCGCAAGGUAUCGAAGGGCGCUAUGUUCAAAAAUCUGAAACUAGAGCUCAAAAUUUGAAAAAAAUGGUAAAAAACAGGGGGUCGGCCUAUUCCAGGGCUUCUAGAGAAAAAUAAUGAGGGGUGUCACGGGGUAUGACUAUAUAGGUCUUGUAGAAGAAGAAACAGGCGCUUCUUUUGCGCAAGGUAUCGAAGGGCGCUAUGUUCAAAAAUCUGAAACUAGAGCCCAAAAUUUGAAAAAAAAUGGUAAAAAAAUAGGGGGCAGCCCUAUUCCAGGGCUUCUAGAGAAAAAUAAUGAGGGGUGUCACGGGGUAUGACUAUAUAGGUCUUGUAGAAGGAGAAACAGGCGCUUCUUUUGCGCAAGGUAUCAAAGGGCGCUAUGUUCAAAAAUCUGAAACUAGAGCUCAAAAUUUGAAAAAAAUGGUAAAAAACAGGGGGGUCGGCCUAUUCCAGGGCUUCUAGAGAAAAAUAAUGAGGGGUGUCACGGGGUAUGAUGACUAUAUAGGUCUUGUAGAAAAGAAACAGGCGCUUCUUUUGCGCAAGGUAUCAAAGGGCGCUAUGUUCAAAAAUCUGAAACUAGAGCUCAAAAUUUGAAAAAAAAAAUGGUAAAAAACAGGGGGUCGGCCUAUUCCAGGGCUUCUAGAGAAAAAUAAUGAGGGGUGUCACGGGGUAUGACUAUAUAGGUCUUGUAGAAGAGAAACAGGCGCUUCUUUUGCGCAAGGUAUCGAAAGGGCGCUAUGUUCAAAAAUCUGAAACUAGAGCUCAAAAUUUGAAAAAAAUGGUAAAAAAUAGGGGGGUCGGCCUAUUCCAGGGCUUCUAGAGAAAAAUAAUGAGGGUUGUCACGGGGUAUGACUAUAUAGGUCUUGUAGAAGAGAAACAGGCGCUUCUUUUGCGCAAGGUAUCGAAGGGCGCUAUGUUCAAAAAUCUGAAACUAGAGCUCAAAAUUUGAAAAAAAUGGUCAAAAAAUAGGGGGUCGGCCUAUUCCAGGGCUUCUAGAGAAAAAUAAUGAGGGUGUCACGGGGUAUGACUAUAUAGGUCUUGUAGAGGAGAAACAGGCGCUUCUUUUGCGCAAGGUAUCGAAGGGCGCUAUGUUCAAAAAUCUGAAACUAGAGCUCCAAAAUUUGAAAAAAAUGGUAAAAAAGGGGGUCGGCCUAUUCCAGGGGCUUCUAGAGAAAAAUAAUGAGGGUGUCACGGGGUAUGACUAUAUAGGUCUUGUAGAGAGAAAACAGGCGCUCUCUUUUGCGCAAGGUAUCGAAGGGCGCUAUGUUCAAAAAUCUGAAACUAGAGCCCAAAAUUUGAAAAAAAUGGUAAAAAAUAGGGGGUCGGCCUAUUCCAGGGCUCUAGAGAAAAAUAAUGAGGGGUGUCACGGGGUAUGACUAUAUAGGUCUUGUAGAAAGAGAAACAGGCGCUUCUUUUGCGCAAGGUAUCGAAGGGCGCUAUGUUCAAAAAAUCUGAAACUAGAGCUCAAAAUUUGAAAAAAAUGGUCAAAAAAGGGGGUCGGCCUAUUCCAGGGCUUCUAGAGAAAAAAUAAUGAGGGGUGUCACGGGGUAUGACUAUAUAGGUCUUGUAGAAGGAGAAACAGGCGCUUCUUUUGCGCAAGGUAUCGAAGGGCGCUAUGUUCAAAAAUCUGAAACUAGAGCCCAAAAUUUGAAAAAAAUGGUAAAAAAAUAGGGGGGUCGGCCUAUUCCAGGGCUUCUAGAGAAAAAUAAUGAGGGGUGUCACGGGUAUAUGACUAUAUAGGUCUUGUAGAGGAGAAACAGGCGCUUCUUUUGCGCAAGGUAUCGAAGGGCGCUAUGUUCAAAAAUCUGAAACUAGAGCUCAAAAAUUUGAAAAAAAUGGUAAAAAAGGGGGGUCGGCCUAUUCCAGGGCUUCUAGAGAAAAAUAAUGAGGGGUGUCACGGGGUAUGACUAUAUAGGUCUUGUAGAAGAGAAACAGGCGCUUCUUUUGCGCAAGGUAUCGAAGGGCGCUAUGUUCAAAAAUCUGAAACUAGAGCCCAAAAUUUGAAAAAAAUGGUAAAAAAGUAGGGGGGGCCUAUUCGGGGCUUCCAGAGAAAAAUAAUGAGGGGUGACAAGGGGUAUGACUAUAUAGGUUUUGUAGAGGACAAACAGGUUCAAAAAUCUAAAACUAGAGCUAAAAAUUUGAAAAAAAAUGGUAAAAAACAGGGGGUCGGCCUAUUCCGGGGCUUCUAGAGAAAAAAAUGAGGGGUGUCACGGGUAUGACUAUAUAGGUCUUGUAGAAGAGAAACAGGCGCUUCUUUUGCGCAAGGUAUCGAAAGGGCGCUAUGUUCAAAAAUCUGAAACUAGAGCUCAAAAUUUGAAAAAAAUGGAAAAAAAACAGGGGGGUUUGCCUAUUCCGGGGCUUCUAGAGAAAAAUAAUAAGGGGUGUCACGGGGUAUGACAAUAUAGGUCUUGUAGGAGAGAAAGAGGCGCUUCUUUUUCACAAGGUAUCGAAGGCGCUAUAUUCAAAAAUCUGAAACUAGAGCUCAAAAUUUGAAAAAAAAUGGUAAAAAAAGGGGGUCGCCCUUAUCCGGGCUUCUAGAGAAAAAUAAAUGAGGGGUGUCACGGGGUAUGACUAUAUAGGUCUUGUAGAAGAGAAACAGGCGCUUCUUUUGCGCAAGGUAUCGAAGGGCGCUAUGUUCAAAAAUCUGAAAAUAGAGCAAAAUUUGAAAAAAAAUGGUAAAAAAAUAGGAGUCGGCCUAUUCCAGGGCUUCUAGAGAAAAAUAAUGAUGAAUGUCACGGGGUAUGACUAUAUAGGUCUUGUAGGAGA
RNAcentral lists this long non-coding RNA (3023 nucleotides) under Mytilus galloprovincialis (Mediterranean mussel). The record is from RNAcentral. Lineage: Eukaryota; Metazoa; Mollusca; Bivalvia; Mytilida; Mytilidae.